GCCAGGCAUGGUGGCGCAUGCCUGUAAUACCAGCUACUCAGGAGGCUGAGGCAGGAGAAUCACUUGAACCCAGGAAGCAGAGGUUGCAGUGAGCUGAGAUUGCGCCACUGCACUCCAGCCUGGGUGACAGAGUGAGAUUCUGUCUCAA
Molecule: signal recognition particle RNA, 148 nt
Filed under: Nomascus leucogenys (northern white-cheeked gibbon)
Lineage: Eukaryota; Metazoa; Chordata; Mammalia; Primates; Hylobatidae
Description: Metazoan signal recognition particle RNA
Rfam family: Metazoan signal recognition particle RNA
About the family: The signal recognition particle (SRP) is a universally conserved ribonucleoprotein. It is involved in the co-translational targeting of proteins to membranes.
Source: Rfam by way of RNAcentral